This 254-nucleotide ribosomal RNA is filed under the name uncultured bacterium. Its description in RNAcentral is "partial 16S ribosomal RNA". It matches the Rfam family "Bacterial small subunit ribosomal RNA", at positions 524 to 776 of the family's 1533-position model. The record is from RNAcentral.
AACGUAGGAGACUAGCGUUAUCCGGAUUUACUGGGCGUAAAGCGUAUGCAGGCGGAUCGUUAAGUCGGGGGUGAAAUCCCGAGGCUCAACCUCGGAACUGCCUUCGAUACUGGCGACCUUCGAGUCCGGGAGAGGUGAGUGGAACUCCGAGUGUAGAGGUGAAAUUCGUAGAUAUUCGGAAGAACACCAGUGGCGAAGGCGGCUCACUGGCCCGGUACUGACGCUGAGAUACGAAAGCGUGGGGAGCAAACAGG